UGGGGCGUAGCCAAAUGGUAAGGCAGGAGACUUUGGAUCUCCCAUUUGGUGGUUCGAGUCCACCCGCCCCAGCCA
Molecule: transfer RNA, 75 nt
Filed under: Nitrospirota bacterium
Lineage: Bacteria; Pseudomonadati; Nitrospirota
Description: Nitrospirae bacterium (hydrothermal vent metagenome) tRNA-Gln
Rfam family: tRNA
About the family: Transfer RNA (tRNA) molecules are approximately 80 nucleotides in length. Their secondary structure includes four short double-helical elements and three loops (D, anti-codon, and T loops).
Source: RNAcentral